RNAcentral lists this long non-coding RNA (443 nucleotides) under Equus caballus (horse). Its description in RNAcentral is "lncRNA (ENSECAG00000047625.1)". Lineage: Eukaryota; Metazoa; Chordata; Mammalia; Perissodactyla; Equidae. The record is from RNAcentral.
AUUUUAUUCACUGGGCUUAGCAGGUAAUUUGCAUCUGAUUUACAAAUGUUGUGGCCAACUUAGUCAGAGGUCAGUAUCCAGGGUUACUAGAUCAGGAGUCUUUCUAAGCAUCUUCUCCUUACAUCUCCACGACCUUCACAUUAUCAAUCAAGGGUGGCGAUCCAACAGGAAGAGUGUUUAAUUCAUUCCUACGACGUCAGGGUUGGCAGCAGAUGGACAGACUGCCUGGCUAUUGGGAACUUCAUCUCUGUCAGUCUCCCGUCUGAUACCAACUUUGCCAAGCCUGACGAGCACAUCGCCAGGAUUGCAAAAUCUCUAACUGCUUAUGAAAGCACAACUGGACCUGCUGAAUUUUCACACUGCAGGACAAACCUGUUCCUCCUCACCUGCCUGCCAAGAGGUUUACAAACACUUUUGACGAUCGUUCCCCAAACUUGAGCACA